CCUACGGGAGGCAGCAGUGAGGAAUAUUGGUCAAUGGACGCAAGUCUGAACCAGCCAUGCCGCGUGCAGGAUGAAUGUGCUAUGCAUUGUAAACUGCUUUUGUACGAGGGUAAAAACAGGUACGUGUACCUGGUUGAAAGUAUCGUACGAAUAAGGGUCGGCUAACUCCGUGCCAGCAGCCGCGGUAAUACGGAGGACCCGAGCGUUAUCCGGAUUUAUUGGGUUUAAAGGGUGCGUAGGCGGAUUGGUAAGUUAGAGGUGAAAGCUCAGCGCUUAACGUUGAAACUGCCUCUGAUACUGUCGGUCUAGAGUAUAGUUGCGGAAGGCGGAAUGUGUGGUGUAGCGGUGAAAUGCUUAGAUAUCACACAGAACACCGAUUGCGAAGGCAGCUUUCCAAGCUAUCACUGACGCUGAGGCACGAAAG
Molecule: ribosomal RNA, 424 nt
Filed under: uncultured Enterococcus sp.
Lineage: Bacteria; Bacillati; Bacillota; Bacilli; Lactobacillales; Enterococcaceae
Description: bacterial SSU rRNA
Rfam family: Bacterial small subunit ribosomal RNA
Source: RNAcentral